GGCCUCAUCGUCUAAAGGUUAGGAUAUAGCCCUUUCAAGGCUGGGAUACGGGUUCAAUUCCCGUUGAGGCUACCA
Molecule: transfer RNA, 75 nt
Filed under: Phormidium pseudopriestleyi FRX01
Lineage: Bacteria; Bacillati; Cyanobacteriota; Cyanophyceae; Oscillatoriales; Oscillatoriaceae
Description: tRNA-Glu
Rfam family: tRNA
About the family: Transfer RNA (tRNA) molecules are approximately 80 nucleotides in length. Their secondary structure includes four short double-helical elements and three loops (D, anti-codon, and T loops).
Source: RNAcentral